AGUAAUGUUAUGGGUGAAGGAAGGGGCUAGCAAAGUUCUCGAGCCUACGCAUAGAAACUUGAUGAGGCUAAAUGGUGGAUAAGGUUGCUAGUCAAACUGAAGUCCAAAAGGUAAACGUAAAACCAAGACAGUAAAUCAAGAGGUUGUGGAACGAAAGAUUA
Molecule: non-coding RNA, 161 nt
Filed under: pig gut metagenome
Source: RNAcentral